UACGUAGGUGGCGAGCGUUGUCCGGAUUUACUGGGCGUAAAGGGCGUGCAGGCGGUUUGUUAAGUGCAGGGUGAAAGCUCCCGGCUCAACUGGGAGAGGUCCUUGCAUACUGGCGAACUCGAGGGAGGCAGAGGAAGGUGGAAUUCCCGGUGUAGUGGUGAUAUGCGUAGAUAUCGGGAGGAACACCUGUGGCGAAGGCGGCUUUCUGGGCCUUACCUGACGCUGAGACGCGAAAGCGUGGGGAGCGAACCGG
This 253-nucleotide ribosomal RNA is filed under the name uncultured bacterium. RNAcentral's name for it is "partial 16S ribosomal RNA". It matches the Rfam family "Bacterial small subunit ribosomal RNA", at positions 524 to 776 of the family's 1533-position model. The record is from RNAcentral.